RNAcentral lists this ribosomal RNA (942 nucleotides) under uncultured bacterium. RNAcentral's name for it is "bacterial SSU rRNA". It matches the Rfam family "Bacterial small subunit ribosomal RNA", at positions 8 to 938 of the family's 1533-position model. The record is from RNAcentral.
AGAGUUUGAUCCUGGCUCAGAACGAACGCUGGCGGCAGGCCUAACACAUGCAAGUCGAGCGAUUAAAGCUCCUUCGGGAGUGUAUAAAGCGGCGAACGGGUGAGUAACAGGUGGAUAAUCUGCCUUCUGGUGGGGGAUAACGGUUGGAAACGACCGCUAAUACCGCAUGUCAUUGUCGGUCCUUGGACCGGCAAGAAAAGGCGCUUCACGGCGUCACCAGAAGAUGAGUCCGCCCCCCAUUAGCUUGUUGGUGAGAUAACAGCUCACCAAGGCAACGAUGGGUAGCCGAGCUGAGAGGUUGAUCGGCCACACUGGAACUGAGAUACGGUCCAGACACCUACGGGUGGCAGCAGUGAGGAAUAUUGGACAAUGGGCGAAAGCCUGAUCCAGCCAUGCCGCGUGAGUGAUGACGGCCUUCGGGUUGUAAAGCUCUUUUCUAAGGGAAGAACACCCAGGGGAGGAAAUGUCCCUGGAUUGACGGUACCUUAGGAAUAAGGAACGGCUAACUCCGUGCCAGCAGCCGCGGUAAUACGGAGGUUCCAAGCGUUGUUCGGAUUUACUGGGCGUAAAGGGAGCGCAGGCGGAAAGGUCAGUCUGAAGUGGAAUCCCGGGGCUCAACCUCGGAAGUGCUUUGGAUACUGCCUUUCUUGAGUCCAUGAGAGGAAAGCGGAAUUCAGGGUGUAGCGGUGAAAUGCUUAGAUAUCCUGAGGAACACCAAUGGCGAAAGCAGCUUUCUGGCAUGUGACUGACGCUGAGCUCGAAAGCGUGGGGAGCGAACGGGAUUAGAUACCCCGGUAGUCCACGCCGUAAACGUUGUGCACUAGGUGUGGGAGGUAUCGAMCCCUUCUGUGCCGUAGCUAACGCAUUAAGUGCACCGGCUGGGGAGUACGCUCGCAGAGUGAAACUCAAGGAAUUGCCGGGGCCCCGCACAAGCGGUGGAGC